CGCAGCCGCGGUAAUUCCAGCUCCAAUAGCGUAUAUUAAAGUUGUUGCAGUUAAAAGCUCGUAGUUGAAUUUCGGGAUUAAUAUGUUGGUCGUGCCUUGGUACGUACUGGCAUUAUUGAUUCCUACCUUCUGAAGAACCUCGAUGUCAUUAAUUUGGUGUCUUGGGGAAUCAGGACCGUUACUUUGAAAAAUUAGAGUGUUUAAAGCAGGCCCGCGCUUGAAUACAUUAGCAUGGAAUAAUGAAAUAGGACGUUUGAUUCUAUUUUGUUGGUUUCUAGGAUCGACGUAAUGAUUAAUAGGGAUAGUUGGGGGCAUUAGUAUUCAAUCGUCAGAGGUGAAAUUCUUGGAUUUAUUGAAGACUGACUACUGCGAAAGCAUUUGCCAAGGAUGUUUUCAUUAAUCAAGAACGAAAGUUAGGGAUCGAAGACGAUCAGAUACCGUCGUAGUCUUAACCAUAAACUAUGCCGACUAGGGAUCGGAUGAUGUUAAUUUUUAAUGUACUCAUUCGGCGCCUUACGGG
RNAcentral lists this unclassified non-coding RNA (520 nucleotides) under uncultured Glomus. RNAcentral's name for it is "SSU rRNA". It matches the Rfam family "Eukaryotic small subunit ribosomal RNA", at positions 569 to 1094 of the family's 1831-position model. The record is from RNAcentral. Lineage: Eukaryota; Fungi; Glomeromycota; Glomeromycetes; Glomerales; Glomeraceae.